This is a long non-coding RNA of Coffea eugenioides, 526 nucleotides long. RefSeq lists it as uncharacterized. The record is from RefSeq and is a predicted model, not a curated record. NCBI's taxonomy places the organism in Eukaryota, Viridiplantae, Streptophyta, Magnoliopsida, Gentianales, Rubiaceae. The transcript is spliced from 2 exons.
AUCAAAAGGAAACGAGAAUUGUGUGCUACUGCUUCUGGAUUUUGGAGCGGACCCCAACAGCAGAGAUAUGGCAUCUGAAGCAACAUCUCAGUCAAAAGGGAAAGGCAAAGGGUAUUUCACUUGGACUCCUGAAAUGGAUCGUGUAAUGGGCACCUGUUUUAUUGACCAAAUGAACCAAGGAAACAAAUUGGAUGGUAAAUGUGCAUUGGUAAUUGAUUUUUUUUGGUAAUCUCCAGUUGAAGUUGUUUUGUAGAAGAAGUUGAGCUGAUUGCUGGAAGCCCAAGUAGAGCAAGUAGAAGUUGUUACUACUCCAUCGUGUAUCCAUGACUUUUUAAAUUCUGAUGAGUUCUUUGUUUUUUAUGUAAUGGAUCAAAACAAGAUUAUAGAAAGAUUCUAGAGAGUAUUUCAGCUAUUUUCUCUGUUUUUGAGAUGAUAAGAAUGGAACAUUGGAUCUUUUGUCUGAUGAACUAGCAUUUUAGAUAUUGAGAUUAACAUAGCUGCCUGUGUUGAUGCCCUGACUUGUCCU